Molecule: long non-coding RNA, 1233 nt
Filed under: Anser cygnoides (Swan goose)
Lineage: Eukaryota; Metazoa; Chordata; Aves; Anseriformes; Anatidae
Description: lncRNA (ENSACDG00005014187.1)
Source: RNAcentral
AUGGGAACUGCUGUUAUUUAUGAUUAUGAGCCGGAGCAGCCCCGCGCUCGCCGCGGCUCCUCUCAGCCCUGCGCAGCCCGCGGAGCGGAUCUGCUCGCCUCCUGCGCCCGGGAACGGCGGAGCCGGCUCGGCUCCAGGCGGGUAUUUCCCUUCCUCGGCUGCUCCGCGCACCGUGACCGAGGCAGAGCAAACGCCGGGCGGUUCGUGCGAGCGAUAGCAACGGCAACCCCGAUAAGAGCAGCAGCGAGGGCGAGGGUGGGCGGCGGGGCUGCGCCGGGGGUGUUUUCCGUGGGGGCUGCGCGGCCCCGGGCUGCCUCUGGCUCGGCCCGGGGCUCGGUGCGGUGCCGGGGCUCGGUGCGGAGCCGGGGCUCGGUGCUGGCGGCUCUGCCCUCCGCGCUCCCCGGUGGGAACGGGCCCGGAGCCCUCCCCACGCAUCUCCCCCGGGAGCGGCCGGGGCAGGGCGGAGGGACCGGGGUGGCGGCUGUUUCCCUGCGUUUCGUUAGGGUUUGCUUGCGGGGCUUUUGUUUGCUUUUUAUUUGUUUGUUUUAUUUUUUUUUUCCGCUCGGCCCCGGCACGACGCGAGCCCCCUCGCCAGCCGGGCCCGGCGGCGGGGACAGGGGAGCGCGGCCCCGGCCCGGCCUUGCCGCAGCGCCGGGACCUGGAACGGGCAACCGGGAACCGGGAGCUGAACACCGCGGGCAGCUCCGGCCGCCGGCUCCGUCCCGCCGCGAUGCCCCGUUUGCCCCCCCCGGCCCCUCCGAGCCGAGGUGCGGAGCGGGGCGCAGCGGCCCUCCCUGCGCGCCUGCCUCCUUCGUGCGCCGCGCUUUGCCUUUUUCUUUUUAUUUCUUUCUAUUUUCUUUAUUUUUAAUUUUCUCUUUCCUUUCUCUUCCCCUCAAUCCGUUUCUAUUCGCUCCGCGCCGUCUCCGCCGGUUCCCGUUAUUCGGGGGCCGGACGCAGGUUGCCGCAGACACCGAGCGGCGGCUCGGGGCCCACCGCAGCCCGGCGGCACAUUUGGAGGCCUCGCACUCCCCGUCCCCGGGGAAUCCCGGAGCUCCCGCCCCGGCCGUGCCCAGGCCCCUCGGCGGCCACGAUUGCCGCAGCCCCGGGGGACGCCCGGUGCCGGGCUGCGGAGCCCCGCUGCGGCGUCGGGGGGCACGGAGCCCUCGCGGUGUCCUUCGCCGGGGAUUGAGCUCUCGGGGAUGCUGGGCUCCCGGCAAUUGGAUUAACAGCUAA